RNAcentral lists this ribosomal RNA (253 nucleotides) under uncultured bacterium. RNAcentral's name for it is "partial 16S ribosomal RNA". It matches the Rfam family "Bacterial small subunit ribosomal RNA", at positions 524 to 776 of the family's 1533-position model. The record is from RNAcentral.
UACGUAGGGUGCAAGCGUUGUCCGGAAUUAUUGGGCGUAAAGAGCUCGUAGGCGGUUUGUCGCGUCUGCUGUGAAAACGCGAGGCUCAACCUCGCGCCUGCAGUGGGUACGGGCAGACUAGAGUGCGGUAGGGGAGAUUGGAAUUCCCGGUGUAGCGGUGAAAUGCGCAGAUAUCGGGAGGAACACCGGUGGCGAAGGCGGUUCUCUGGGCCUUACCUGACGCUGAGGAGCGAAAGCGUGGGGAGCGAACAGG